GUGAUGUCCAUCUGUGGAGCAGACUUCUAAAAGUUCCGAUUUUGUGGUCUGCUGCUCUGUCACUUUCCGGUAUCUGGCUGAUGGAGGCUCCUUCCUCGUGCUUUAUCCUACCAUAUAUCUCCUCGGAUCUACGUCUCCUCACCUCCUACCUUGCAGAAA
This is a long non-coding RNA of Mustela erminea (ermine), 159 nucleotides long. RefSeq lists it as uncharacterized. The transcript has 3 exons. Lineage: Eukaryota; Metazoa; Chordata; Mammalia; Carnivora; Mustelidae. The record is from RefSeq and is a predicted model, not a curated record.